UGGGGAAUAUCGGACAAUGGGCGCAAGCCUGAUCCAGCCAUGCCGCGUGUGUGAAGAAGGCCUUUUGGUUGUAAAGCACUUUAAGCGAGGAGGAGGCUACUUGGAUUAAUACUCUAGGAUAGUGGACGUUACUCGCAGAAUAAGCACCGGCUAACUCUGUGCCAGCAGCCGCGGUAAUACAGAGGGUGCGAGCGUUAAUCGGAUUUACAGGGCGUAAAGCGUGCGUAGGCGGCUUUUUAAGUCGGAUGUGAAAUCCCUGAGCUUAACUUAGGAAUUGCAUUCGAUACUGGGAAGCUAGAGUAUGGGGGAGGAUGAUAGAAUUCCAGGUGUAGCGGUGAAAUGCGUAGAGAUCUGGAGAAAUACCGAUGGCGAAGGCAGCGAUCUGGCCUAAUACUGACGCUGAGGUACGAAAGCAUGGGGAGCAAACAGG
RNAcentral lists this ribosomal RNA (430 nucleotides) under Bacillota bacterium. RNAcentral describes it as "Firmicutes bacterium partial 16S ribosomal RNA". It matches the Rfam family "Bacterial small subunit ribosomal RNA", at positions 355 to 776 of the family's 1533-position model. Lineage: Bacteria; Bacillati; Bacillota. The record is from RNAcentral.